UUUUGUAAAUGUUAACAAUGUGAGUAGACAUGUGCAUGAAUAUUAGAACACCUUCUUUUGUCCACUGUUGCAGAGACUGCAGUGGUACACAGCCCCAUGAUGCUGAUUCAGUGGACAUGAACUGAGGUGUUGAAGUGACCUGCAAGUGAAGAAUGGGAGGACCCUCUACUUCCUAAAGAAGUGCUUCCUGAAAGAAAGUACUAAAAAUAUUAGAAAGUGUGUGAAUCAACCUUCUGAACCCAAAGAUGGUCUGGACAUGGAAAAAGAUGAAGUUGUGUUACUAAAAUACCUUCGAACAUUUCAAGAGGUGGUGCUGAGAGCUGCAAUGCCAGCUCAAUCAAAGCUCUGAUAUUUGCUGCUAUCUCCAUGCAUGUUUACAGCAGCUGACAUAUGAAAAGCCAGGGAAUAAUUUGAGUUUGCAAGCUAUGAAAUAAGUCCAUUUUGGAUCUGAAUCUGGCUGUCAAAUCACUUUGAUGGGUUAAUCUGACACAAAAUGAAAGGAUACAAAUGAAAGAAACUUUUGGCAAGCCUGAAAAAAACGGAUGCACAUCUGCAAGACAGAGAGAGCAGAAAGAAGCAAAACAGCAGAGAAGAUGCCCUGUACACCCUGAGAAUACUUGUCCAGCUUGCAUGGAAACGCAGGCAGAAGACUUCUGGAGGUUACUCUCUCAA
RNAcentral lists this long non-coding RNA (672 nucleotides) under Manacus vitellinus (golden-collared manakin). RNAcentral's name for it is "lncRNA (ENSMVIG00005000414.1)". The record is from RNAcentral. Lineage: Eukaryota; Metazoa; Chordata; Aves; Passeriformes; Pipridae.